GACGAACGCUGGCGGCGUGCUUAACACAUGCAAGUCGAACGGAAAGGCCCUGCUUUUGUGGGGUGCUCGAGUGGCGAACGGGUGAGUAACACGUGAGUAACCUGCCCUUGACUUUGGGAUAACUUCAGGAAACUGGGGCUAAUACCGGAUAGGAGCUCCUGCUGCAUGGUGGGGGUUGGAAAGUUUCGGCGGUUGGGGAUGGACUCGCGGCUUAUCAGCUUGUUGGUGGGGUAGUGGCUUACCAAGGCUUUGACGGGUAGCCGGCCUGAGAGGGUGACCGGCCACAUUGGGACUGAGAUACGGCCCAGACUCCUACGGGAGGCAGCAGUGGGGAAUAUUGCACAAUGGGCGGAAGCCUGAUGCAGCAACGCCGCGUGCGGGAUGACGGCCUUCGGGUUGUAAACCGCUUUCGCCUGUGACGAAGCGUGAAUGAUGGUAAUGGGUAAAGAAGCACCGGCUAACUACGUG
RNAcentral lists this ribosomal RNA (468 nucleotides) under uncultured bacterium. RNAcentral's name for it is "partial 16S ribosomal RNA". It matches the Rfam family "Bacterial small subunit ribosomal RNA", at positions 28 to 507 of the family's 1533-position model. The record is from RNAcentral.